This 75-nucleotide transfer RNA is filed under the name Candidatus Nanoarchaeia archaeon. RNAcentral describes it as "tRNA-Phe". It matches the Rfam family "tRNA". From Rfam's summary of the family: Transfer RNA (tRNA) molecules are approximately 80 nucleotides in length. Their secondary structure includes four short double-helical elements and three loops (D, anti-codon, and T loops). Further hydrogen bonds mediate the characteristic L-shaped molecular structure. tRNAs have two regions of fundamental functional importance: the anti-codon, which is responsible for specific mRNA codon recognition, and the 3' end, to which the tRNAs corresponding amino acid is attached (by aminoacyl-tRNA synthetases). tRNAs cope with the degeneracy of the genetic code in two manners: having more than one tRNA (with a specific anti-codon) for a particular amino acid; and 'wobble' base-pairing, i.e. permitting non-standard base-pairing at the 3rd anti-codon position. Lineage: Archaea; Nanobdellati; Nanobdellota; Candidatus Nanoarchaeia. The record is from RNAcentral. RNAcentral also lists the same sequence under 2 other names.
GCCGGGUUAGCUCAGUGGUAGAGCGCCUGCCUGAAGAGCAGGGCGUGCGUGGUUCGAUUCCGCGACCCGGCACCA